This 73-nucleotide transfer RNA is filed under the name Stegodyphus mimosarum. It matches the Rfam family "tRNA". From Rfam's summary of the family: Transfer RNA (tRNA) molecules are approximately 80 nucleotides in length. Their secondary structure includes four short double-helical elements and three loops (D, anti-codon, and T loops). Further hydrogen bonds mediate the characteristic L-shaped molecular structure. tRNAs have two regions of fundamental functional importance: the anti-codon, which is responsible for specific mRNA codon recognition, and the 3' end, to which the tRNAs corresponding amino acid is attached (by aminoacyl-tRNA synthetases). tRNAs cope with the degeneracy of the genetic code in two manners: having more than one tRNA (with a specific anti-codon) for a particular amino acid; and 'wobble' base-pairing, i.e. permitting non-standard base-pairing at the 3rd anti-codon position. The record is from Rfam by way of RNAcentral. Lineage: Eukaryota; Metazoa; Arthropoda; Arachnida; Araneae; Eresidae.
GCGUUCAUAGUGUAGUGGUCAGCACGCUAGAUGCGUAACCGGGAGGUCCGUGGUUCGAUUCCCGGCGAAAGCG